This 253-nucleotide ribosomal RNA is filed under the name uncultured bacterium. Its description in RNAcentral is "partial 16S ribosomal RNA". It matches the Rfam family "Bacterial small subunit ribosomal RNA", at positions 524 to 776 of the family's 1533-position model. The record is from RNAcentral.
UACAGAGGGUGCGAGCGUUAAUCGGAAUUACUGGGCGUAAAGGGUGCGUAGGUGGUUUUGUAAGUUAGGUGUGAAAGUCCUGGGCUUAACCUGGGGAUUGCGCCUGAUACUGUGAGACUAGAGUAUUGUAGAGGAAAGUGGAAUUUCCGGUGUAGCAGUGAAAUGCGUAGAUAUCGGAAGGAACAUCAGUGGCGAAGGCGACUUUCUGGACAAAUACUGACACUGAGGCACGAAAGCGUGGGGAGCAAACAGG